Molecule: unclassified non-coding RNA, 210 nt
Filed under: Hevea brasiliensis (rubber tree)
Lineage: Eukaryota; Viridiplantae; Streptophyta; Magnoliopsida; Malpighiales; Euphorbiaceae
Source: RNAcentral
CUCGUCGACGACCGCCGCGACGAAUCGCAUCACGAAGGAUGGAUUAAGAGAAAGGAACAGUGAAAUUGGGCAUUUUUUGUUGGAUUAGAUACUGCAGAAGCAGUCCUACCAAAGCCCCAAAAUUUGAGUAAUCGGAUUUGUUGCGACUUGCGAGGGUUCUCUCUUCCCUUCCUUGUCCUUCUUCCUUCCCCUCUCCCCUCUCUGAUUUUC